GCGCAGCAGGCGAGAAACCUCCGCAAUACACGAAAGUGUGACGGGGCCAUCCCGAGUGCCGUCCGCUGAGGACGGCUUUUCCCCAGUGUACAUAGCGUGGGGGAAUAAGGAGAGGGCAAGCCUGGUGUCAGCCGCCGCGGUAAUACCAGCUCUCCGAGUGGUGGGGACGCUUAUUGGGCCUAAAGCAUCCGUAGCCGGCUGGGCAAGUCCUCCGUUAAAUCCAACGAUUCAAUCGUUGGGCUGCGGGGGAUACUGUCCAGCGUUGGGGGGCGGGAGAGGCCGACGGUA
Molecule: ribosomal RNA, 288 nt
Filed under: uncultured microorganism
Description: partial 16S ribosomal RNA
Rfam family: Archaeal small subunit ribosomal RNA
Source: RNAcentral